AUGAUUUGUUCUGACAUCCAAAAGGACCUUGCUACAACUUGUGCGAUGGAGGUAACCAAAGUUAUUAAGAAUGACAUUGGAGAUAAGAAUUUCUCAAUACUUAUUGAUGAGGCUAGAGAUUGUUCAAUAAAGGAGCAAAUGGCGGUGAUUUUGAGAUUUCUAGAUGAUCAUGGAGUGCUCCAAGAGAGAUUCCUUGCCAUUAAGCACAUCACAGAUUGCACAUCUGCUGGAAUUAAAGAAGCUUUAGUUGAUGUGUUGGAAUAUCAUGGUUUGUCAAUUUCCAGCCUACGUGGUCAGGGUUAUGAUGGGGCUUCAAAUAUGAGAGGGGAGUUCAAUGGUUUGCAAAAAUUGGUUAGAGAUGAAGCUCCGUAUGCAUUCUAUGUUCAUUGCUUUGCUCACCAGUUACAAUUGGUGGUUGUCACCGUUGCUCAAUGUAGUCCUGCUAUUGCUGAUUUCUUCAAUUAUAUUCCCUUGAUAGUGACUCAAGUGUGUUCAUCUUGUAAAAGGAAAGAUGCAUUACUUGCCAAACAUCAUGAUGAAUUGUUAGAUUUGAUGGAGAAUGGAAAGAUUUCAGCCGGUACCGGGUUGCAUCAAGAAUCAAACAUAACAAGACCAGGAGAUACUCAUUGGGGCUCACACCUCAAAACCUUGCUUCGUAUAUUCACAAUGUGGAAUGUUGUGGUGGAUGUACUAGGAAUUGUUGUGGCUGAUGCUCGGGAACACACAUGCCAAGGUGGAGCUAGAGGUUUGCUUAAAAACAUGGGAUGCUUUGAAUUUGUGUUCAUCAUGUUCUUCUUAAUAAACUUGUUGAGCAACAAAAAUCAACUAUCCCAAGCUUUGCAAAGGAAGAAUCAAAAUAUCGUUGAGGCCAUGCGUUUGAUCUUGGAUGUGAAAGAAAGCUUGCAGGACAUGAGGGACAAUGGUUGGGAGCCUUUAUUUUGCCAAGCCAAGAACUUUUGUGAAACACAUGAUAUUGAUGUGCCAAACAUGGAUGAUCUUGUUGGAACAAUGGGCCAAUCUGUUCGCACUAAGAAUAAGGUGACUCGGCUUCACUAUUACAAGGUUAGCAUAUUCAAUGUUGCCAUUGAUGCAACUAUCACCGAGGUGAAUCGCCGAUUCAAUGAAGUUUCCACCGAGUUAUUGGAUUGCAUGUCUUGUCUUAAUCCAGCAAACAACUUUGCAAAGUUUGACGUUGAAAAACUUAUUCGUCUUGCUGAAAUUUAUGAUGAGGACUUCACAGAAGCUGACCGGUUGUUGCUAAGAGUACACCUCCCCAGAUUCCUUAUGAACAUUAGGAGAAGUGAUGAAUUUAAUGGAUGCCGGGAUAUGUCCACACUUGCUCGUUUGAUGGUUGAAACAGCGAAACAUACAAUUUUCCAAUUGGUAUAUCGCCUCAUUGAGUUGACACUAAUUCUUCCUGUAGCAACUUCAACAGUUGAGCGAAUAUUUUCAGCAAUGAAGAUCAUCAAGACAGAUUUGCGCAACAAACUAUCAGAUGAAUGGCUAAAUGAUUUAAUGGUGUGCUAUUGUGAGAAAGAGAUAUUCAGAAGCAUUCACGAUGACAAAAUCAUGAUACAAUUUCAGAAAAUGAGUGAUCGGAAAGGACAUUUGCCUUAUGAGUUUAAUGUGAUUCCUUAG
This 1638-nucleotide ribosomal RNA is filed under the name Triticum aestivum (bread wheat). Its description in RNAcentral is "partial small subunit ribosomal RNA". Lineage: Eukaryota; Viridiplantae; Streptophyta; Magnoliopsida; Poales; Poaceae. The record is from RNAcentral.